Molecule: ribosomal RNA, 459 nt
Filed under: uncultured bacterium
Lineage: Bacteria
Description: partial 16S ribosomal RNA
Rfam family: Bacterial small subunit ribosomal RNA
Source: RNAcentral
CCUACGGGAGGCAGCAGUGAGGAAUAUUGGUCAAUGGUCGGGAGACUGAACCAGCCAAGCCGCGUGAGGGAGGAAGGUACAGAGUAUCGUAAACCUCUUUUGUCAGGGAACAAAGGCGGGGACGUGUCCCCGGAUGAGUGUACCUGAAGAAAAAGCAUCGGCUAACUCCGUGCCAGCAGCCGCGGUAAUACGGAGGAUGCGAGCGUUAUCCGGAUUUAUUGGGUUUAAGGGGUGCGCAGGCGGUCUGUAAAGGCAGCGGUCAAAGCCCGGGGCCAAACCCCGGCCCGCCGUUGAAACUGGCAGUCUUGAGUUGGAGAGAAGCAUGCGGAAUGCGGGGUGUAGCGGUGAAAUGCAUAGAUAUCGCGCAGAACUCCGAUUGCGAAGGCAGCUUGCCGGCUCCACACUGACGCUGAGGCACGAAAGCGUGGGUAUCGAACAGGAUUAGAUACCCCUGUAGUC